RNAcentral lists this ribosomal RNA (1330 nucleotides) under Staphylococcus aureus. Its description in RNAcentral is "partial 23S ribosomal RNA". It matches the Rfam family "Bacterial large subunit ribosomal RNA", at positions 1591 to 2925 of the family's 2925-position model. Lineage: Bacteria; Bacillati; Bacillota; Bacilli; Caryophanales; Staphylococcaceae. The record is from RNAcentral.
UCGUUGAUUUCACACUGCCGAGAAAAGCCUCUAGAUAGAAAAUAGGUGCCCGUACCGCAAACCGACACAGGUAGUCAAGAUGAGAAUUCUAAGGUGAGCGAGCGAACUCUCGUUAAGGAACUCGGCAAAAUGACCCCGUAACUUCGGGAGAAGGGGUGCUCUUUAGGGUUAACGCCCAGAAGAGCCGCAGUGAAUAGGCCCAAGCGACUGUUUAUCAAAAACACAGGUCUCUGCUAAACCGUAAGGUGAUGUAUAGGGGCUGACGCCUGCCCGGUGCUGGAAGGUUAAGAGGAGUGGUUAGCUUCUGCGAAGCUACGAAUCGAAGCCCCAGUAAACGGCGGCCGUAACUAUAACGGUCCUAAGGUAGCGAAAUUCCUUGUCGGGUAAGUUCCGACCCGCACGAAAGGCGUAACGAUUUGGGCACUGUCUCAACGAGAGACUCGGUGAAAUCAUAGUACCUGUGAAGAUGCAGGUUACCCGCGACAGGACGGAAAGACCCCGUGGAGCUUUACUGUAGCCUGAUAUUGAAAUUCGGCACAGCUUGUACAGGAUAGGUAGGAGCCUUUGAAACGUGAGCGCUAGCUUACGUGGAGGCGCUGGUGGGAUACUACCCUAGCUGUGUUGGCUUUCUAACCCGCACCACUUAUCGUGGUGGGAGACAGUGUCAGGCGGGCAGUUUGACUGGGGCGGUCGCCUCCUAAAAGGUAACGGAGGCGCUCAAAGGUUCCCUCAGAAUGGUUGGAAAUCAUUCAUAGAGUGUAAAGGCAUAAGGGAGCUUGACUGCGAGACCUACAAGUCGAGCAGGGUCGAAAGACGGACUUAGUGAUCCGGUGGUUCCGCAUGGAAGGGCCAUCGCUCAACGGAUAAAAGCUACCCCGGGGAUAACAGGCUUAUCUCCCCCAAGAGUUCACAUCGACGGGGAGGUUUGGCACCUCGAUGUCGGCUCAUCGCAUCCUGGGGCUGUAGUCGGUCCCAAGGGUUGGGCUGUUCGCCCAUUAAAGCGGUACGCGAGCUGGGUUCAGAACGUCGUGAGACAGUUCGGUCCCUAUCCGUCGUGGGCGUAGGAAAUUUGAGAGGAGCUGUCCUUAGUACGAGAGGACCGGGAUGGACAUACCUCUGGUGUACCAGUUGUCGUGCCAACGGCAUAGCUGGGUAGCUAUGUGUGGACGGGAUAAGUGCUGAAAGCAUCUAAGCAUGAAGCCCCCCUCAAGAUGAGAUUUCCCAACUUCGGUUAUAAGAUCCCUCAAAGAUGAUGAGGUUAAUAGGUUCGAGGUGGAAGCAUGGUGACAUGUGGAGCUGACGAAUACUAAUCGAUCGAAGACUUAAUCAA